RNAcentral lists this long non-coding RNA (659 nucleotides) under Homo sapiens (human). Its description in RNAcentral is "HSALNT0390333". Lineage: Eukaryota; Metazoa; Chordata; Mammalia; Primates; Hominidae. The record is from RNAcentral.
CUGGGUGGUUGAUGUACAGCAACAGGAAGCUGGAAGGGGAGGGGCUUAGCCGAAGAGUGCUUUUGUAUUGGUCGAGGUUGACCUUCCACCCACCUCUAACCCAGAGGAUGAAUGAUAGAUCUGCCCUGAAGCCAAUCAGAAGUCCUUAGGACUGAGCUGUGGUAGAAGGAUUGAGGCCAGCACAGAGGAGGAUCAGCAGGAAAUGUAAGGGUUGUCCUCAUCUAAUCCGUCAGUACCAGACAGUGAACAUCUCUCCCCCAGGAUGCUGAGGGAGGGUCCUGGAGGGAAGGAUGUGGAACUACAGCCUCUGCUCUCAAGAAGCUCAGAUCUGGGCAGGGAACAUCACAUACCAGGGCUGUCUGUCGGGGGGGUGGAGGGCUGGGGGAGGGAUAGCAUUAGGGGAAAUACCUAAUGUAAAUGACAAGUUGAUGGGUGCAGCAAACCAACAUGGCACAUGUAUACCUAUGUAACAAAUCUGCAUGUUGUGCACGUGUACCCUAGAACUUAAAGUAUAAUUAAAAAAAAAAAAAGCUUCAGAUCCCUCCUGGAGCCUCCUAUGAAACCACGUGGCAUAACUGGUGCUGUUGGUCCAGAAACUAGAAGAAUAUCAGGCCAGCCCCCUUGACUCUCUGUUGGUCCUCACUCAUAGCUACAACCCA